GCCGGGCGCGGUGGCGCGUGCCUGUAGUCCCAGCUACUCGGGAGCCUGAGGUAGGAGGAUUGCUUGAGCCCAGGAGUUCUGGGCUGUAGUGUGCUAUGCUGAUCGGGUGUCCGCACUAAGUUUGGCAUCAAUAUGGUGACCUCCCGGGAGUGGGGGACCACCAGGUUGCCUAAGGAGGGGUGAACUGGCCCAGGUCAGAAAUGGAGCAGGUCAAAAUUCCCGUGCUGAUCAGUAGUGGGAUGACGCCUGUGAAUAGCCACUGCAUUCCAGCCUGGGCAAUAUAGCGAGACCCCAUCUCU
RNAcentral lists this signal recognition particle RNA (299 nucleotides) under Aotus nancymaae (Ma's night monkey). RNAcentral describes it as "Metazoan signal recognition particle RNA (ENSANAG00000006671.1)". It matches the Rfam family "Metazoan signal recognition particle RNA". From Rfam's summary of the family: The signal recognition particle (SRP) is a universally conserved ribonucleoprotein. It is involved in the co-translational targeting of proteins to membranes. The record is from RNAcentral. Lineage: Eukaryota; Metazoa; Chordata; Mammalia; Primates; Aotidae.